AGGAGGAACAACCGCAGUGGUGGGGCCAGCUCUGGAGCACUGGAGUCACCUCCAGCAGUAGCUCCAGAGCUCUCCGUCUGCAGGGCCUGGAGGCUCCGGGGCGGG
Molecule: non-coding RNA, 105 nt
Organism: Canis lupus familiaris (dog)
Lineage: Eukaryota; Metazoa; Chordata; Mammalia; Carnivora; Canidae
Source: Rfam